Long non-coding RNA from Zonotrichia albicollis (white-throated sparrow), 514 nucleotides. RefSeq lists it as uncharacterized. The record is from RefSeq and is a predicted model, not a curated record. NCBI's taxonomy places the organism in Eukaryota, Metazoa, Chordata, Aves, Passeriformes, Passerellidae.
CCCUUCGCGGGAGACAGAGCUGCUCCCACGCUCCUUUUGGAACUUCAGUUUGUUUUGUUGUUUUGUUUGGGUUUUUUUAAACCCCAUUGGUUAAAAAAAAAAAGUCCAAACAGAAUUAAUUGUCGCGAACUCCAUGAGCACGCUUAGAGCCAAGUGUUACCGACACUCUCACGCCUCACAGCAUCGAAACGCCACCAGUGACAGGACUGGAACUCCUCCAGCAUACACAAACUGGAGUCCAGCUGCCUGGAGUCAAAUGUAAGCUGAGAGCGUGGGACAGACGGAGGAAAUGCAGCUGGGAGGACUGGAACUCAGAAUAACAUGGAACAACUAACAGGAAUUGGCUUGAAACUAACAAAUGCCCUGAUAGAAAACAGUAGGAUAACUAAAGCAUUAUUUUAGCAGCUGGAAGUGUGGAGGACCAGGGAAAGCUGAUGACAGGAAAGCUGUCCUGGGGUGACGUUAUGAUGCUUGUAUAUCCCCAUUCAUCUGUUCUGUGCCUUUAAGACCGGCU